This 58-nucleotide transfer RNA is filed under the name Eleutherocaulis alte. RNAcentral describes it as "tRNA-Ser". Lineage: Eukaryota; Metazoa; Mollusca; Gastropoda; Systellommatophora; Veronicellidae. The record is from RNAcentral.
GAAGUUUAUUUAUUAAGGCUUCUAACUUUGAUUAGGGGUAUACUUACUCCAAACUUCU